RNAcentral lists this ribosomal RNA (446 nucleotides) under uncultured bacterium. RNAcentral's name for it is "bacterial SSU rRNA". It matches the Rfam family "Bacterial small subunit ribosomal RNA", at positions 329 to 792 of the family's 1533-position model. The record is from RNAcentral.
UGCCAGACUCCUACGGGAGGCAGCAGUGGGGAAUAUUGCACAAUGGGCGCAAGCCUGAUGCAGCGACGCCGCGUGAGCGAAGAAGUAUUUCGGUAUGUAAAGCUCUAUCAGCAGGGAAGAAAAUGACGGUACCUGACUAAGAAGCUCCGGCUAAAUACGUGCCAGCAGCCGCGGUAAUACGUAUGGAGCAAGCGUUAUCCGGAAUUACUGGGUGUAAAGGGAGCGUAGACGGAUGUGCAAGUCUGAUGUGAAAGGCGGGGGCCCAACCCCCGGACUGCUCUGGAAACUAUGUUACUGGAGUGCAGGAGAGGUAAGCGGAAUUCCUAGUGUAGCGGUGAAAUGCGUAGAUAUUAGGAGGAACACCAGUGGCGAAGGCGGCUUACUGGACUGUAACUGACGUUGAGGCUCGAAAGCGUGGGGAGCAAACAGGAUUAGAUACCCCAGUA